This is a long non-coding RNA of Stegostoma tigrinum, 209 nucleotides long. RefSeq lists it as uncharacterized. NCBI's taxonomy places the organism in Eukaryota, Metazoa, Chordata, Chondrichthyes, Orectolobiformes, Stegostomatidae. The transcript is spliced from 3 exons. The record is from RefSeq and is a predicted model, not a curated record.
GCCAUGGAAGGAUGACACUGUACAGGGCAAGAGUGAACCUGGCCUCCUGAGAAUACAGCAGCCAUGGCAACAGAGGCAGCUCUUGCCCACGACAGGUGGCAGUAACAGAGGAUCUCUUUCCCAUGAUUGGUAGCAGCAUCGGCGGCAGCAAGAGUGAUUGGUGGAGCAUGCUCCAGGCUGGACAAGACCUAGUGUGCAUAUCUUUGAGG